Long non-coding RNA from Gadus macrocephalus (Pacific cod), 425 nucleotides. RefSeq lists it as uncharacterized. The record is from RefSeq and is a predicted model, not a curated record. The transcript has 3 exons. Lineage: Eukaryota; Metazoa; Chordata; Actinopteri; Gadiformes; Gadidae.
CACACACUCCUGCUAGAAGGUCGAAGGAAAUCAAAAGUGAAAUAAUAUUAUUAUGUUAUAUUGAGGUGUGUGUCAGGGUGUGUUUGUAUUAAGGUACAUUUAUUGAGGUGAGGGUGUGUGUAUUAUGGUGUGUGUAUUAUGGUCAGGGUGUGUGUAAUAAGGUGUAUUUAUUAAGGUGAGGGUGUGUGUAUAAAAGUGUGUAUUAAGGUGUGUGUGUGUGUGUGUGUGUGUGUGUGUGUGUGUGUGUGUCUGUGUGUGUGUGUGUGUGUGUCUGUGUGUGUGUGUGUGUGUGUGUGUGUGUGUGUGUGUAUUAAGGGUUAUGUGUUUUUGGUGUAUGUAUUAAGGUGUGUGUGUGUAUAAGGUGUGUGUAUUAAGGUGUGUGUGUGUAUUAGGUGUGUGUAUUAAGGUGUGUGUGUGUGUGUAUU